Pteropus alecto (black flying fox) is the source of this 119-nucleotide non-coding RNA. Lineage: Eukaryota; Metazoa; Chordata; Mammalia; Chiroptera; Pteropodidae. The record is from Rfam.
GUCUACGGCCAUAUCACCCUGAACAAGCCUGAUCCCAUCUGAUCUCGGAAGCUAAGCAGGGUUGGACCUGGUUAGUGUUUGGAUGGGAGACCACCUAGGAAGACCAGGGGCUGUAGGGG